RNAcentral lists this ribosomal RNA (116 nucleotides) under Diaphorina citri (Asian citrus psyllid). The record is from RNAcentral. Lineage: Eukaryota; Metazoa; Arthropoda; Insecta; Hemiptera; Psyllidae.
GCCAGCGGCGAUAGCACGUUGAAUAUGCUAAUUCCCGAUGGAUCACUGAAGUUAAGCAACGUUCCGCGUGGUUGGUAUCCGGAUGGGUGACUAUCCGGAUGGGUGUGAUGCUGGCU